This 403-nucleotide unclassified non-coding RNA is filed under the name soil metagenome. Its description in RNAcentral is "partial contains 5.8S ribosomal RNA, internal transcribed spacer 2, and large subunit ribosomal RNA". The stretch from base 1 to 121 matches the Rfam family "5.8S ribosomal RNA", at positions 35 to 154 of the family's 154-position model. The record is from RNAcentral.
GAUGAAGAACGCAGCGAAAUGCGAUAAGUAGUGUGAAUUGCAGAUGUAACGUGAAUCAUCGAAUCUUUGAACGCAAAUUGCACUCUCUGGUAUUCCGGGGAGUAUGCCUGUUUGAGGGUCGCCAAAUCAACAUCGAAAUUCAUUUGCUUUUGUAAAUGUUUAUCGGAUUUGAGCCGUCUUUUUAUAUUCUUUAAAGUGGCUUAAAAUGUAUUUUUUGGUAUCGAAAAACGUUAUUUUACGAUCAAAAUUGAUUAAAAAACAAACGUUUCGAAUGCCAUCUUUUAAUGUAAUACGUUUGACUGUGGUGUUAAUCAUAGUUUUCAUUCGUAUACGAUUUUUUAAUUUUUGACCUCAAAUCAGGUAAGAACACCCGCUGAACUUAAGCAUAUCAAUAAGCGGAGGA